This 335-nucleotide unclassified non-coding RNA is filed under the name soil metagenome. RNAcentral's name for it is "partial contains 5.8S ribosomal RNA, internal transcribed spacer 2, and large subunit ribosomal RNA". The stretch from base 1 to 120 matches the Rfam family "5.8S ribosomal RNA", at positions 35 to 154 of the family's 154-position model. The record is from RNAcentral.
GAUGAAGAACGUAGCGAAAUGCGAUAAGUAAUGUGAAUUGCAGAAUUCAGUGAAUCAUCGAAUCUUUGAACGCACAUUGCGCCCGCCAGUAUUCUGGCGGGCAUGCCUGUUCGAGCGUCAUUUCAACCAUCAAGCCCCCGGCUUGUGUUGGGGACCUGCGGCUGCCGCAGGCCCUGAAAACCAGUGGCGGGCUCGCUGUCACACCGAGCGUAGUAGAUUUUCAUCUCGCUCAGGGCGUGCUGCGGGUUCCGGCCGUAAAAGCCUUAUUUACCCAAGGUUGACCUCGGAUCAGGUAGGAAGACCCGCUGAACUUAAGCAUAUCAAUAAGCGGAGGA